AGCCUUCUGUAUCCGUGCUGAGAUUUCGUCACACACCAGACCACAAGGGUUGAUGAAACUUGCAAGUUAAACGAAGCG
Molecule: microRNA precursor, 78 nt
Filed under: Schistosoma curassoni
Lineage: Eukaryota; Metazoa; Platyhelminthes; Trematoda; Strigeidida; Schistosomatidae
Description: mir-3492 microRNA precursor family
Rfam family: mir-3492 microRNA precursor family
Source: Rfam by way of RNAcentral